UUGGCAUGCGCGCGCUAUAAUGCAGUCGAACGAUAACGAUCGGUGCUUGGACUGGUCGGAGGAGUGGCGAACGGGUGAGUAACACGUGUGUAACCUGCCCAUCACAGGGGGAUAACAUUCGGAAACGAAUGCUAAAACCCCAUAAGUCUUCAAAUCGCAUGGUUUGGAAAUGAAAAGAGGCGCUGCCUCCUUCUGAUGUGGGGAUGCGCGGUGUUAGCUCUUUUGGGAGGUGACACGGCUCCCCAGCGCCGAUACAUAGCCCCGAUGAGAGGGGGAUCGGCGACACUGUGGGUGUGACACGGCCCCCACUCCCCCGGGAGACGCCAAGGGGGGACUCUUCCGCUGUGGACGCGCCUGGGAUAAAACAACGCAUGAUGAGUGCAGAGUUUUUCAAUAGAAAAUCUUCGUUGUAAAAAACGA
This 420-nucleotide ribosomal RNA is filed under the name uncultured bacterium. Its description in RNAcentral is "partial 16S ribosomal RNA". It matches the Rfam family "Bacterial small subunit ribosomal RNA", at positions 38 to 448 of the family's 1533-position model. The record is from RNAcentral.